UACGUAUGGUGCAAGCGUUAUCCGGAUUUACUGGGUGUAAAGGGAGCGUAGGCGGCGCGUUAAGUCUGAUGUGAAAACCCGAGGCUCAACCACGGGAGUGCAUUGGAAACUGGCGUGCUGGAGUGCCGGAUAGGUAAGCGGAAUUCCUAGUGUAGCGGUGAAAUGCGUAGAUAUCAGGUGGAACACCGGUGGCGAAGGCGGCCUGCUGGACUGCAACUGACGUUGAGGCCCGAAAGCGUGGGGAGCAAACAGG
This 253-nucleotide ribosomal RNA is filed under the name uncultured bacterium. Its description in RNAcentral is "partial 16S ribosomal RNA". It matches the Rfam family "Bacterial small subunit ribosomal RNA", at positions 524 to 776 of the family's 1533-position model. The record is from RNAcentral.